Molecule: non-coding RNA, 522 nt
Organism: Vicugna pacos (alpaca)
Lineage: Eukaryota; Metazoa; Chordata; Mammalia; Artiodactyla; Camelidae
Source: RefSeq, a predicted model, not a curated record
GGUCGCGCAGGCGCAGAGGCGAUGGGAAGAGGCGGCGGCGGCGGGACGCCGCGCACGAGCGGGGGGCUCCUUCAGCUGCAUCACAGAGCUUUCGCGCUCUAUUCCCAGACUUCUAUGGGGCUGACACGUCAAAUACCCGAGAGAAACCAGUCAGCCCUUCCAAUGCUUACCAAACCCGAAAGCGGGAGGAGUACGCAUGUAAUGGCGCAGCCCUUGACCAGUUUUCCAAUGGAGACUAAUGGAUAAAGUGCACCCGAUUCUGCAUCGCAGGUGGACAGUUCUGAAAUGUAUUCUACCAGGCUUUUUAGAGGAAUUCAGCCCAACUACUUACCGCAAUAUUCCUGUGAUAAUAUAUCCUAGGAUUCUCCUCCCCUUCUCUUCACAGCUUUCCACUCCUCUUCUUUGGAGAAACUUGCUAAUAAACACUUUACCAGCUUUUGUCUCCAGCUCUGCUUUUGCAGAGGACCCAGGCUGAAACAAAUUGAAAUAUGUUGAAAUGUGUACAUUCUUAUUGGAUGUCUU